GGGGGUGAAGCGCAGCAGUAGAGUGCUUGUCUGGUGUGCACGAGGCUCUGGGUUUGAUCCCCAGUACUGCCA
Molecule: transfer RNA, 72 nt
Filed under: Heterocephalus glaber (naked mole-rat)
Lineage: Eukaryota; Metazoa; Chordata; Mammalia; Rodentia; Bathyergidae
Rfam family: tRNA
About the family: Transfer RNA (tRNA) molecules are approximately 80 nucleotides in length. Their secondary structure includes four short double-helical elements and three loops (D, anti-codon, and T loops).
Source: Rfam by way of RNAcentral